Molecule: ribosomal RNA, 207 nt
Filed under: uncultured bacterium
Lineage: Bacteria
Description: partial 16S ribosomal RNA
Rfam family: Bacterial small subunit ribosomal RNA
Source: RNAcentral
CUCGUAGGCGGUUUGUCGCGUCGGGAGUGAAAACACUGGGCUUAACUCAGUGCUUGCUUCCGAUACGGGCAGACUAGAGGUAUUCAGGGGAGAACGGAAUUCCUGGUGUAGCGGUGAAAUGCGCAGAUAUCAGGAGGAACACCGGUGGCGAAGGCGGUUCUCUGGGAAUGUCCUGACGCUGAGGAGCGAAAGUGUGGGGAGCGAACA